GAUGAAGAACGCAGCGAAAUGCGAUAAGUAAUGUGAAUUGCAGAAUUCAGUGAAUCAUCGAAUCUUUGAACGCAUCUUGCGCUCCUUGGUAUUCUGAGGAGCAUCCCUGUUUGAGUGUCAUUAAAUUCUCAACUACACUGACUUUGAAUUGGUGUGGCUUGGAUUUGGGGGGAAAAUUGUUGUGGGCUUUUUGUAUAGUCUGCUCCCCUGAAAUUGAUUAGCGGUACCUUUGUGGAACUGUCUACAGGUGUGAUAAUUAUCUACAUCUUAGACAUCUGCUGGAAUGCUGCUUUCUAAACCUUACUUGUAUUGACAAUCUUGACCUCAAAUCAGGUAGGACUACCCGCUGAACUUAAGCAUAUCAAUAAGCGGAGGA
RNAcentral lists this unclassified non-coding RNA (376 nucleotides) under soil metagenome. RNAcentral's name for it is "partial contains 5.8S ribosomal RNA, internal transcribed spacer 2, and large subunit ribosomal RNA". The stretch from base 1 to 120 matches the Rfam family "5.8S ribosomal RNA", at positions 35 to 154 of the family's 154-position model. The record is from RNAcentral.